GUGGGGAAUCUUGCGCAAUGGGCGAAAGCCUGACGCAGCCAUGCCGCGUGAAUGAUGAAGGUCUUAGGAUUGUAAAAUUCUUUCACCGGGGACGAUAAUGACGGUACCCGGAGAAGAAGCCCCGGCUAACUUCGUGCCAGCAGCCGCGGUAAUACGAAGGGGGCUAGCGUUGCUCGGAAUUACUGGGCGUAAAGGGCGCGUAGGCGGACAGCUUAGUCAGAGGUGAAAGCCCAGGGCUCAACCUUGGAAUUGCCUUUGAUACUGGCUGUCUUGAGUACGGGAGAGGUGAGUGGAACUCCGAGUGUAGAGGUGAAAUUCGUAGAUAUUCGGAAGAACACCAGUGGCGAAGGCGACUCACUGGCCCGUUACUGACGCUGAGGCGCGAAAGCGUGGGGAGCAAACAGGAUUAGAAACCCCUGUAGUC
RNAcentral lists this ribosomal RNA (424 nucleotides) under uncultured bacterium. Its description in RNAcentral is "partial 16S ribosomal RNA". It matches the Rfam family "Bacterial small subunit ribosomal RNA", at positions 354 to 795 of the family's 1533-position model. The record is from RNAcentral.